Molecule: ribosomal RNA, 326 nt
Filed under: uncultured eukaryote
Lineage: Eukaryota
Description: partial 18S ribosomal RNA
Rfam family: Eukaryotic small subunit ribosomal RNA
Source: RNAcentral
CCCUUAGAUGUUCUGGGCUGCACGCGCGCUACACUGAAGCGUUCAACGAGUAUUCACCUUGCCCGGGAGGGUUGGGUAAUCUUUUGAAAACGCUUCGUGAUGGGGAUAGAUUAUUGCAAUUAUUAAUCUUGAACGAGGAAUUCCUAGUAAACGCAAAUCAUCAAUUUGCAUUGAUUACGUCCCUGCCCUUUGUACACACCGCCCGUCGCACCUACCGAUUGAAUGGUCCGGUGAAGCCUCGGGAUUGUGGCCAGUUCACUUUAUUGGGAGUUGGCUGCGAGAACUUGUCUAAACCUUAUCAUUUAGAGGAAGGUGAAGUCGUAACA